RNAcentral lists this transfer RNA (67 nucleotides) under unidentified. RNAcentral describes it as "Cupuladria biporosa tRNA-Gly". The record is from RNAcentral.
ACUCCGUUAGUAUUAUAAACUAGUACAUCCACCUUCCAAGUAGAAAGACUGCCUAACAGACAGAGCA